UGAGUAAUCUGCCCUGCGCUCUGGGAUAGCCACCGGAAACGGUGAUUAAUACCGGAUAGGACCACUACAGGCAUCUGUUGGUGGUGGAAAGUUUUUUCGGCGCAGGAUGUGCUCGCGGCCUAUCAGCUUGUUGGUGAGGUAAUGGCUCACCAAGGCUUUGACGGGUAGCCGGCCUGAGAGGGUGACCGGUCACACUGGGACUGAGACACGGCCCAGACUCCUACGGGAGGCAGCAGUGGGGAAUAUUGGACAAUGGGCGGAAGCCUGAUCCAGCAACGCCGCGUGAGGGAUGACGGCCUUCGGGUUGUAAACCUCUUUCAGUACCGACGAAGCGCAAGUGACGGUAGGUACAGAAGAAGGACCGGCCAACUACGUGCCAGCAGCCGCGGUAAUACGUAGGGUCCGAGCGUUGUCCGGAAUUAUUGGGCGUAAAGGGCUCGUAGGCGGUUUGUCGCGUCGGGAGUGAAAACACCGGGCUUAACUCGGUGCUUGCUUUCGAUACGGGCAGACUAGAGGUAUGCAGGGGAGAAUGGAAUUCCUGGUGUAGCGGUGAAAUGCGCAGAUAUCAGGAGGAACACCGGUGGCGAAGGCGGUUCUCUGGGCAUUACCUGACGCUGAGGAGC
RNAcentral lists this ribosomal RNA (623 nucleotides) under Nocardioides sp. RNAcentral describes it as "bacterial SSU rRNA". It matches the Rfam family "Bacterial small subunit ribosomal RNA", at positions 118 to 754 of the family's 1533-position model. The record is from RNAcentral. Lineage: Bacteria; Bacillati; Actinomycetota; Actinomycetes; Propionibacteriales; Nocardioidaceae.